UGAUCCCAGGGGCAAGGAGGAAGUCUUCCUUGUCUGGCAUUGAGGUUGGGGAGGAGCCACGUCAGAAAUAAUAGCUCAGGGCACCCACGUUGGGGGACCACCCUGUGCUCGCUGCCUCGUCGUGCUGAGUCCCCAGGACCAGCCUCUGAGCUAACAGGACCUUCCUCCUCUGUUUUCCGGAUGAAGAAACUGAGGCACAGAGAGGCCAGAGUCCAAAGAAGAGCUGGGGGAGGGGCACAAAGGGGUCCUCACGGAUGCCAGGCUGAUGCCAAGAAGAGAAACUGCGGAAUCUCGGGGCCACCGUGCUCCUGGAGCUGGCCUUUCUGGGUCAGCGUUUCACCUGCAGCAACUGGAGAAACAGUGGAAUAUUACACGGCUGUGAAAAAGAACCCCAGGCGUCAGCUGCCAGAUGGCUGGGUCCUGGCAACACACUCCUUUCUUCAUUUUAAAAAUUGGAUGCAGUGCAAAAAUCUUCAUUUGCAGCUGGACAGGUUUCGUAGUAGAAUCUUUAUCCACCCCCCGCCAGCUUUAUUGAGGUGUAACUGACAAAUAAAGUUGUAAUAUAUUUAAAGCCUGUGAUAUGAUGAUUUGAUCAUAGUCGAAUCUUGAGCAAAAAAGAAGUCCCCAAAGCCCAGCUGAAAGCCACCCGAGUCAUAAAGCUCAGACAGAGAAAUUGAUACAAGAUAAGCUUUCAGCAUACCAACAUGUCUAAGAAAACUUAAAAAAAUAAAGGAGUGGGACUUCCCUGGAGGCACAGUGGAUAAGACUUCGCGCUCCCAAUGCAGGGGACCCGGGUUUGAUCCCUGGUCAGGGAACUAGAUCCCACAUGCAUGCCACAACUGAGAGUUCACAA
This is a long non-coding RNA of Orcinus orca (killer whale), 853 nucleotides long. RefSeq lists it as uncharacterized. The transcript has 2 exons. The record is from RefSeq and is a predicted model, not a curated record. NCBI's taxonomy places the organism in Eukaryota, Metazoa, Chordata, Mammalia, Artiodactyla, Delphinidae.